This 16310-nucleotide unclassified non-coding RNA is filed under the name Leishmania donovani. RNAcentral describes it as "gene:LdHU3.33.4010(CDS-product:hypothetical_prote in)". Lineage: Eukaryota; Euglenozoa; Kinetoplastea; Trypanosomatida; Trypanosomatidae. The record is from RNAcentral.
GUAAGCACGCAUCAUCAUCAAUCCCCGGAGACGAAGCACUUCUUUUUUUAUUGAUUUUGUUUUUCGUUUUGGUUUUAGAUUUGUUGGCUUUAUUUUUCAAAUUCUCUUUUUCCUUUCCUCUCUUGCGCUUUUCUGCCUCCAGUUGGAUGCCUUUGUGUUCUCUCUCCUUUCCCCUGUGUCUUCCCCUUCUCUCUCUCCCUCCCUUGACGCCUCGUUUUUUUUUCUUUCGUCGUUUUUGUAUCUCGCUCUCCUUCGUGCCGACCAUCACCAUCAUCUUGCCAGUGUACGUCCCUUAUCAGGUCCUGUCUCUGACCUCGCUAUCACACGCGCUCUGGUCUCCCCUCUCUCCAUCUCUGUCGUUGCUGCUUUCGUCCCCCCAUUCACACAUCACAUCCUUAGUGUCGGCGCGACGGCUCGAGUCUUCACAACUUCUGCCGGCCCUUCGACCUACACAUCUACGCCCCCUCUCUUUCCGCGCGGGCCUACGCAAACCCCUGAUCACCACUCGACUCUAAACUUCCCUUCCUCGCCCUUCCCUCUCCUUUUUUGUUUUGAUUAUAUUUUCUUUUUUUUCUGUUGCUGUUCCACCCUUUCCGGUUUCUUGUCGUCCCCGUGCUUCAUCUCCAUAUUGAGCUCUCUCACUUCUUUUCCUUUGUCUUUCGAUACUUUCUCUUGUUUCUACACCCUCCCGCCUGUCUGUCGGCCUAUCUGUCUCUCUGUUGGCGAUACUGUCUGCCGAUCAUCACUGCCCCCCUCCCCUCCCCUCCUCUCCUCGUCCCCACCCCUCGUACUGCGUCCCUCUCUGGGCUCGCACAGCCACUUCUUAACAGGAGCAGCAACAGCAACUCAAGCGACGUAUAACACGUAGGUCGCCUCUUUUUUUUUAAAAGCUCCUCUCCAUUUAUUUUUUUUUCUCUCGCUCACUUUCGCUUUCCCCACUCUGCGUCCACAAACACCCUCCCCCCACCUCAGCGUCCCUCCCCGUGCCCUCCGCCGGACAGCAUCACCGCCUCCAUCGCCAGUGACCGUGUUUUUGAUCAUUUUGUGAACGAGAACGACGAAGACGGCCAGUAGCAACGGCACCCACACGAACGCAGACACGGAGCCGCUUCUCUCCCUCUCGGUUUCAGUUGUGUUGCCGGUCUCUGUCCGUCUGUUGAGACUGUCUUUCAGCCCUCUUCCCCUACGCACCUUCACCCCCUCCUCCUUCACUUCAGUGAGAACUCUUGAACUUUCCCUUGACCUCCGCCGCGUUCCUUCUUUCCCUCAAGAUCCGCUCCAACUUCCCCUACCCCCUCCUCGUAUUUUUGUUGCUUCCCGACUACGAGGAUAGGACCACGACGACCGUCAUACAUACCUCAAGCGGGUAUUCGUUUUUUUUUUGGGUGCGCCUCACUCUUAUUUCGUUCUCCCUUUCUCUUUCCCUUUUUUUUCCUAGCCCUCGCGCUAGCAGCCCAUCUUCACCAUCCUCUCCGUUUUCUGCACAGCCGCCACCGGCGAUCACUAGCUUACCGCAUUAACAAAAAAAAAACAAAAGGAAAUAAUAGCAGUAGCCGACGAAAAAGAAGAGCGGCAGAAUACUGGUCGUGGCUGUGUGUAUGCCUGUGUCUGUGUAUGUUAGGCUGACCGUUGUAAGCUGUUUGUCCCACUCUUUCUUUCUCCCCGUCUGACUUUCUUUUUCGCGCUUCGGCUGCAACCUUUCUCACACCAGCGGCACCAUCAGCGCACGGUUGCGUGUGUUUUCUUGUGUUUUGUGUGUGUCGCUUGAUUGCGUGCGCUUGUGUGUUUCUCCUUUUUAUCGUUGCGUUCCUCUUUUUUUUUGCGCCUCUUGGCUUCGUGCCUGCGUGUCUGUGUGUUGCGUGCGUGUGCGCGUGUCUGUGGAGAGCUUCGCCAUCAUCGCCUUUGACGCACCGGUUUUGUUCACCUGCACUCGCGCCCUCACGCUCGUGGUUGCCUGUUCGGACCCGAGCAAGCCCCACAAUACCGAUCACAAAAAAAGAUCGUUGUGUUCAAGGUGUCGAAGAGACUGUGGUGCAGACAAGCACCCAUACGCAAAAGCACAAGUACGCGGAACAGCGAGGAGGGAAGGCCCACACGGCUGCUGAUACUGCAAGUGUGGGGGAGGUUAGCAUACAACGCCGACACACACACACACACACACACACGCACGCACAUAAGUCGAGAGAAAAGUCGAAGCUUUCGAAAAGGAGAGGUUGACAAUUUUGUUAUCUUUUUUUUUAUUUUGGCUUUGCUUCAGGCAAGCAUAUCCUCACACCUACCCCCUCUCCCACGGCCGCUCUUCGCGUUUCACGCCUCCUUUACCCAAGUAAGCACACACAGAGACGACAAGAGAGGUUCCUCUGCGAGAUUGCCACUUGUGCACCCCUCCCCCUUCCCCUUCCUUGUCGACCUGCGCACCAAGCAGCGCUCUCAGCUCUUCCUCUGUCUCCCUCCCUUUCUCUCUCUCCCCGUCUAUCCAUCCCCUUUUAUACCGCUUCGCUGCUGCUUUUUUUUUUUUCGUGCAUCGCUUAAGUUUUCUUUUCUGUUUAUUCUGUAUCCUGAGUGCCCCAGUAUAUUUGCCGCGUUGUUCGUGGUAGAAUGACACGGUGAAAAAAAAAACAAAAAUAACAAAGAAAAAGUAAAACAACCCCGAGUACCUGUGUUGCUUGGAUUAAGCAAGAAAGUAAUCAUCUGCUUCAUUUUUCUUCCCUUCGCCGUGUCUGUGCGUUUGCGCGUCUGCGUGUGCGUCUUCGCGCUCUCUUCUUAUUUUCCCAGUACAGCUUUCGUUUUUUUUUGGUGGUGUUUUUGCUUCGCACUUGCUCUCGUUGUCUCGCUUGGCUAUUUAUCCCUCCUCCUUCCAUCACUGCACUCCCCCCUUCUUGUCGUUCUUCGAGUGUUUGCGUGUGGCACAGCUCCUGCGGUUCGCACUACCCCCCGGAACCUCUUCUGCCGUUUCUCUACUUUCUGUCUCUUCUCUUCUUCCCUCCCCCUUUUUUACCACAGUUUGUGCUGCUCUGGGGUGCACUGUUCCGCGUGUGUGCGUGUGUCUCGGUGGUGGCGCAUCGCGCCAGAACCACUCGAUUCUCUCGUGUUGGAUUGCAUGUAUGUUUGGAUUCGCUCUUUGCCUUUACUUGCCUUGACACUUUCUCGGUGUGUCGUUCUCUCUCCCCCUUCCUUUUUUCUGUUGUUGGUUGUUGUUUUCUUGUUGCUCUUGUUCCUCGUCUUCGCGGUCGACGUCUUUCAUCGCGGCUUUGUGGUCGCUACUCUCUCUUUUGUGUUUCCGCCCCUCCUUUCUCUGUGUUUGUGCGUGCGUGUGUGUGUUGUGUGUGUGCUCUUUCUCACCUUCCGUUUGGUCGCUUUCUAACAAAAAAAAUUAUUUUCCUCUCGUGUGGUUUGCCCUGUUUAUCACACUUCAAGUCUUCGCUUUCGCCACCUCUCUAGUAGUUGUUUUCUUCUUGACUUUAUUGUCGAUUUAUCUGCGCUUGCUUCUUAGCACUCUGUCUCUCCGUAUUUCUUGCCCUUCUCGCUGUCUCGCCUUCUCAAUCUCUCUCUCUCUCGCGCACGUGCGCGCUCUCUUCUUUUUUUUUGCGUUUACACAUUUUGCCUUUCUCUAUCCGCUUCUUCUUUUUUUGUGUUCGUCGCCUCCCUCCGUGUGUGUGUGUUUGUGCGCUCUACUUCUACUUGGUUGUUUGCUCUUCCUUCUUCACUCUUCUCCUCCCUGCUUCGCUCUUUUUCAUUGCCUGUUUUCCUGGCGUGUGCGUGUGUCGGUGUGUGCUCGCGCGUUGUAUAGCCUCCGCCCUUUGUCUCCUGCGAGUUUACGUGCGCUCAUCGGUGUUGUUGUUUCUUGCGCUUAUACUUGCUUGCGCGUGCAUGCGUGCGUGCGUGCGUGUGUGUGUGUGUGUUUGCGUGUGUACGUUGGAGUGAUCUAUCACCCUUCUUUGUCGUCUUCUGGUAAGCUUCAGCUGUUUCCUUUCGUCGUCUUUUUCGCCUUUUCUUCUGGUUGUGCGCCUUUCCUUUUCUGUUCUCAGCCCCCCCCCUCUCUCUAUAUAUAUCACCCCACUCUUGAUUGUACCUCAUCUUGCUCCCUCUUUUUCGCCUGCACGACUUGCUGCUCUUGUUGUGCACUUCUGGUGUUUCUGUUGGUCAUCUCUUGCUUGUUUCUUUUUGAUGUUUUUUUCCUCUGCUGCCCUCUCGUGCGUUGCAUUCUCUGUGGCUCUCCUCCCUUGCGCGGUUGUUGUUGGUGGGUUUGUACUCUUUCCCGUUAGCGGCCGCUUUCUGUUUCGUCUGCAGCCUUUGCUCUGGCGGCUUUUUCUUCUUCUUUGCAUCCGCGAGCCGGCCAGCGCAAGACACGCCCAAGGGAAAGGAGCACCGAAGCGCAGCCAGCACCGUCAUCAAUAAAAGUGCAGCAAAGAAAAGAAAAGAGGUGAACACAAGCACGAGCGAAAAUAAUUCGCUUCUGGCACACUGACCCUCCGCCCUCCCUCCGGUAGGCAAUCCUCAUUAUCUGGCAUUAAUCUCACUUCCUCCCACACCUUCCACCACCGAAGACGCAACAGAGGGGCGUGACGGAAGAAAAGAAGAAACGCACACACACGCACAUACACUCGAGAAAGAGAGGUAUAAUAAUUACGGGAUCCGAGCUGAGAAGGCGCACCUCCGUUCGGUCCUUCCUUUUCCCCUCAACACACCGCAAGCACUGUGAAAACCAGCGAGAAGACAAGCGACACAGGAAGUAAGGCAAAGAAGUAGAAGAACGAAGCAAAGAAGCGAGUGCUGAAUCCACAAACUAUCAACCCUCGAUUCAAUAACUCACGAGCGUCCACUUGAUCACGCCCCUGUCGGCGCACUUGUCUGUACCUGCGCGCGUGUUCGCUGGCUCUUUUUUUUUCCUAUUUCUUUCUUUUUGUUGUUGUUGCCUUCGCCAUUGGGGAGUGGGCGGGCGCAUUAGCGGAGUGUUUUCUUUUUGUUUGGCCGUCUUUCCCCGUUGCCUUUCUAGCACGACAUCAAAAUUCUUCUCCGCUGUACCUCAAGUACACACGCACUCACACACACACACACGCACCACUACCACCUUGCUAGGACGGCAAAAUCGCGCUCUUCCGCGUACACGCGUAACGUCCAGCUUCUUCCCUCUUAGUCUCUCCUUUCCCCAGGCAAAAAGAAAAGAAAACGAGAUUUAGCGUUGUAGGCAUCAGCAAACAGCAGAAGUAGUAAGAACAGGACCGGCACGGGUUACGCGGCAGAGCCAAAAGGAAUACGAAGAAAAAAAGGAAAAGGGUCCGGGCAAGCGCCUCUACUUCCUGUCUCUCCGGCCGCGUCCGCAAUUUAGCCCCUCUCUUUCUUUUUCGCUCCUUUUCUCUUUCCGCCAUUGUCUGCCCGUCGCCCCCCCCCGCCUCCUGCGUGAUUGUGAGCGGGCACUGAAGCAGAUCGACACGGAAAAGCAAGCAAGGGCAGAGCAGGCGAGCGUUCUUGACGUAUCUGUGAGCGAAGGACCAGCCGCAAAGGAUAGCACAAAGUUUGUACGCGCAAAAGGGAGGCAAUCACGGAAGGGGAGAGUGGCUGGCUCUUGACAGUUUGUCGAUACAGCGAGGGGUCGGAAGAAACGCGUCACUGCGAGUGUGCUUGUAUGUGCCUGUACAUCUGUCGCUCGACUCUCGUCCAUCACCCGACUCGCAUUCCCGCUCGGAAGCCUAGCGUGCCUUUUUUAUUUAUCUUCUGCGUGAGUGUGUAGGGUGGUGUGUGCGUGUGUGUGUCGGCGCUUACGUACUGCUUCAGUGUGCUGUGUGGAGGGUGUCAGGGGGUUUCCGCGUCCACCUUUCUAGUUGUGCUGGCGUCUCUCUGUCUUCUCGUGCUCUCCUUUAGCCUGCUCUGCCUUGCUUGGUUUACCGAUUUGCGGAUUGCUUCCCUAUCCUUCUGUGCCCCGUCAUCAUCAUUUUUUUAGUAAUUGAGAGAUACGAGCUCGUUAUUUCUCUCUCUAGUUCUGUGUUUCUCGGACGUGUUGUCGUUGUUUUCCCUUCUGUUGCCGAGUUCGUAUCGCUUCCUCAUCGACGCACUUUAUUGUAUCCUCUACAAGCGCACUUCAUCUCCCACUACGCACUCACCAAAGCAGGUCUGUUUGUAUUCGCGCCCGUUUUUCUGUGCGUGUGUGUGUGUGUGCCUGUUUCCGAGUGUGUUUCUCUAGUGCGUGCGCGCUUCCUUUGCUGCUUUUUUUCCGUGGCUCUCUUUGUGUACUUGAUUGAUCUACACCCACACCUUCCCCUUCCGUGUUCCUCACGCCCUUUCGUUUUUGGUUUUUGUUUCCUCUCUCCUCCUUUGCCUCCUCUUUUUUUUUCGUCCGUUUCCGUAACCGAUCUUAGUUUUCUAGAGCUUGAGCUCUUGGCUUGUUUUUCUCUUCCUCUCUCGUUUCUUUUUGCCGUCUCCGCUGCGUGUUUUUUUUUUGUGUGUGUGCCUGUGUCUGUGCCUGUGCCUGUGUGUGUGUGUGUACUUUCGUGCACGUGUGUGUCAUUCCGAGUCCCUUUUUUUUUCGUGUGUGUUUCUCUGUUUUUUUUUCUCCUGCUUGCUGUCUGUUUUGCGCUGUCGUUGAGUCAGCUCGCUGUUCUCACUAUUUAGGUUUCGAAGCCAAACAAAUCGAGACGAAGGAAGAUUUUUAUCGCCUUCACCCCCCCCCUCCACCUCCUCUUCCUCUCUCUUCGUUUUCUUGUCGCUUUCCCCUCCUUCCCUUUUUUUUUGCCUUUGCUCUUCUCCUUAAGCGCCUCUCUUUCUAUCUCCCUCUUAUGCUCGUGCGUCUCUGCGCCGGAUACCUUAUCGUCUCUUAUCUUUCUCUCUUUCAGUAUCUGAUUUUGUGUGUGUGUGUGUGCGUGCAUUGGCGCCACGUGAACUCAACAACGAGCAACGCAGUCCCUCUUUCGAGCCCCACUUUCUCCCCGCCGCUUUCUCCUUUCUUCCUCCCUCGUCGCCUGACGGGCCCGCAGGACUAAUCGGUGGAGGAGGUGAUCUUCGAGAGGUAUACGUGUGCAACGAGAGGCAAAAAAGAACGAAAACAGCAAAGGUAGUGCCUGUGUGUGUGUGUUAGUAUUUGGUUGUUUCUCCUCUCUCGUGCAGUCUCUUUUUUUUUUUCGUCUUUUCUGCUUGCUUCAUUGUCUCUUUCUGUGUUCUGUGUGCGUGUGUCUCCCUCAUACUUACAGAAAUAAGCAACACAGAGGGAGAGUGUAAACGUUUGCAGGAGGCUCAACAGCAACGAGCAACAAAAACGCGAAAAAAAAAACGAAGCAUCCUUCGUCAUCCGUCUUUCUCUUUUUUUUUCGUUUGUUCUUGGCGUAUUCUCGGUGGCUGUUUAUUGAGUGAAGUGGGUGAAGAGGCACUCUAGCGAGUCAUAAGUUGAAGAAAACAUACGUUUAUCCCCGCACAUAGGGAUCUGCGUGAAUCGUUUGGCUCCUGGCCUUCCUGUUCCUCCGCCCAUUCUUCCUGACUCGACUUGUGCACGCACGCACACGGCGCCCUGUGCCGAUGCCUUCAUUACAGAGAGACCCGAAUUCAUGGAUGGAGGCUGCUGCCGCGCAUCCGCCGCUUACAGCCGUGCCAAACACGGUGUCUGCGUCGCAGAUGGGCCACGCGAACACCUCCACGCGGUCGUCGAUGCGGAGACGCGUUCACAGUGCUACGGCUGCUUCGGCUUCCACCGUUGGCGCUGGUUCACCGAUGCCGCAUUUCAUUGGGGCAGCGCCGCAGGCAUACUCGUCACCGACGUUCUACAGGGAUCCGACUGCCUUGCGUGGUAACGACAGAGCCGGCACAGCAUCACCGUUUCGGGUGCUUUCUUCGUCACAGCAGCAAGCAGAGCUGCGCGCGAAUCGAAGUGACAGUCGCACGAUGCCGCCACCGCCGCCGCCGCCGCCGCCAAAUCUGGCGCACGAGCACGACAGUCGACAAGAGAGGAGUUUCAUCUUUCAGCUACGAGGCCUUCCAUUUGCGGCAACCCGAAAAGAUGUCGAGUCUUUUUUACGCACCGUUGACUACGACCAGUUGGACGUUGGAACUUUAGCCACUGGAGAGUCGAGUGGCAACGCGUUUGUGGAGUUGCACGGCUUGCGCGCAGCCGAGAAACUGGGCCGCCUGCACAACACGGUCAUCACCGUCGCAGCUGAUGCCAGCGUACCGGCGCGGGAACGUCCCCGCCCCCGAUAUAUUGAAGUUCUGGACGCUGACGCUGCUAGGAGAGAGCAGGUGCUGCGUAUCGACGCUCUCACAGCGAGGAGCGCUCUGCCGCUUCCGCGGCGCUUCCGCGCUGCGGCCGCUGCAGCCGCAAAUACUUCCUCUGUAUCUGGCACCUCCACUGACGCUUCUCAGCAGCAGCAGCAGCAUCCGGUGCGACAAGCGCAGCAUCAGGCUUUUGUGCAGCCGCCACCGCAGAUGUCUGCAGAGGGUGGUGUUCGGUACUUCACCACUUCGCCGAUGACGCCGCUAUCGGUGUCGUCCACGCUAAUCACCCCCGUCUCGUCUCAGCGCUUUCUGGAUGUGUCAAGGUAUGUCUGCUCCCCAAGCGCGACGUGGAAUGCGUACGCGCAGCAGCAACACAGCGCGCCUCCACUGCCAUCGUCGACGAUGUCAAUGCCGCAUCUUGUGGCGUCACAGCCAGCGCCUGUAGGUUCCUCUGGCGCACCGCCGAUGGUGCGUAUCCAGAAUGUUGAAGGCAGCGGGGUGAUGCGUAGCGCGACUUCAGCACCUUCGGCGUUCUACCAGUUUGCCACUCCUAUAGCUCCACAGACGCAAGAUCCGCAGCAGCAACGCGUCCCCAGCACACCGAAUGUUUCUUACUUUGUUGUCGCUGCAGUACCUUCGCCCGCCACGCUGUCUGAGGCGCGGAGCACCUACUAUGUGGCGCCCCUGUCGUCCACGCAAGCGGCCACUGCCGGCAGCUAUUACUACUUGGGCAGCGGCAGCCCCUAAUGCCCUCUCCCUUUCCCUACCAUCCCCGCUGAACGCCAUCUCGAGGUCUCCAACGGUGGCGAUAAUCAUGCGUGAUCAGCAUCUCUUUUUCUUUCAUGUGUGCGUGUUGAUGCGCUUUUCUCUCCCUUUUUGUUGUCUCUGUUGUUGUUUUAUGUCGUUCUCUUCGUGCUUUUACUGCCGCGCGCUCUCUGCCCUUCGUUUUCUUUUCCUUGGCUUCCUCUCGCCUAUCUGAUCUCCUUCGCCCUUCUUAUUUGAUAAUGCCUAGCACAACUCGACCUACAAGCUCUUUCUCUCUCUCUGUUUUUGUUUGGUUGUUUGAUUUUCUCCGUUUUUUUUUUGUCGCUUUUGGUUUUUGUUGUUGUCGGAUCCGUUUCCACUCCUAGAUAAACCGGAGAUGAGAAGUGAGUGCUACCACGAGCAGGCGCACGCUCUCCCCCUCCCCCCUACACACCACCACCACCAACACUUCUGGACCCGGUUUCUAUCGAUCACCGAUCCCUACUCCCUCCCCUUACGCGUUUGCCCAAGCGAUACCUUUUUUGUUGUUCUCUCCCAAGCUCCUGUUUUGCUGCUUGGCUCCUCAGCCCACCCACACCCUUUUUUUAUGGUUUCGCUUCAUAUCUACGAAGUUUAUGUUUUUUUUUUGUCUGCUUUUCGUUGCUCCUACUUCGUCUCUGUGUACCGGUGUGUUGCUGUGCGGGUGGCGCCUCCCUUCUCUUUUCUCUCGUUUUCUUUUUGCUUUGUCCGUUGUUUAUCUCCCUUUUAAACUGACAUUUUCCUCCCUCCUCCUCGCCCCCCCCCCACGCACACCUUUCACGCAGUCUUUUCUCCUCUUCCCGCCCCACCCCGCCCCUUUCUUUCUAUGUGCGCGUUUGCUUCUUUUUUUAGCUUUCGUUUUGUCUCCGAUUUUCUUGCCCCACCCCUCGCUUCCCCUUCUCCGUCUUCAGCGCCUCUCCCCUCUCGUCUCUCCUCCUCAUACUCUGCGCGUAUACAUGUGUGCGUGUGUGUAGUCUACUCGCACGUGCUCCCUCCCCCGACCCUCACCCCGUACAAGCACAUACAUAAGACUGAAAUAAGAAAAAAAUCGUUCUGAUCAUCAUCUUUUUCGUUGCUUUCUUCGCUCUCUCUCUCUCUGUGCUCUCGCUUCAUCAGUAAUAUGCUUCCGUCUUCUGUGUAUGUGUGUCUGUGUGCUCGCAUCUUCGCGAGUACUCCUUUCCGCCCCUUCACAGCCUUCCGUGCGGCAUUUUUAUUUUUCGUUUUGUUUUGUGUGUUUCUCUAGUAUGAUGACAGGGUUUGCUUCUUUUCCCCUUUCUUAGGAUGGUCUCUCGCAGUCUCUUCAGCGCACUCCACAAACAUGCACGUAUAUGAACGCAUACACUUACGCCAUUUCUCUUCUGUUCAGUCGUCGCCUUUUUUUUUCAUGUAUGCCACCCCGCUCUUCCUCUAUUUUUUUUUUGUGUUCCGCCGCACCCUCUACAUGCGCAUGCGUGCGUGUGUGCCUCUGCUUUUGUUUGUUUGGUUGCCGUUGUUUCCGGCUUGCUUCCCUCCGUGUGUAGUGGUCCUUUUUUUCUUGCAUUUUGUGUAGCUGUUUUCUUUUUUUCUGUUUUCUCCGUUUGUUCGUCUUUGAUGCAAGAUGUCUUUUUUUUUGCUGUUGUUGUUAUCCUCCACUUCAUCUUCCUCUCGUCGUCUCUUUUGCCCCUUUCCUUUGUGUGCACGCGCCUGUGCGCGUCUUUGCCUCUUUCCUUCUCUCCCUUUUCUCUCGCACUCUUCUCACAACGAUUCUUUCUGCCGCCUUUGCACAAGGCGUCCACAGAUGCGGACACUCGAAUAUAUACUGCACUCAUGAAACUCGCCCACUCUCCUUACCACCACCCCGUCUAUCAUCCUCUUCCUUGACAGGAACAGAAGAAGAAACAUAAAAGGAGUUGAGGAUCUUGUGAUACCAGAUUUGCGUAUUGCUACUGCGUGAUCUCACAUCGUGCCGUCGCCGCCGUCCCCCCCCUCCUCCUCCCAUCAUCCCCGCUUCUUCCACGUACGGAUUCCACUUGACUCAUCCUCGUUUUUUUUUCUCUGUCGUACACCGAGAGGGUGAAGGCGGCGGGCGUCGGCAUCCGAGAGUACGGGGUGGUGCACGCUCUUCCUCCCUGUCUGCUUAUCGUUUGCUUUAUUUCCUCUUUUUUGUCGAUUCUUUUUUUUUCUCUCCUUGCCUUGUGGUGCUUCGGAUUUCAUUGUACGCGUGUGUGUGUGCGCGUGUGUGCUUUCUUCGAACAGCGACAACAAAACAAAACAGUGACACACACACAUACAGACGGAGGGUUUCUAUGUGCUGUUAUUCUCUUUCCGUUUCUUUCCUUUUCUUCGUUCCCUCUCCUUGUGCACCCCCCCUUCCCCCCUCCACACACACACACACAACGCUGUUUCUCGUCGUCAUCCCCCUUUCCUCCCUCCUUUUCUUCUGUCUUUGCUUGUUUGCUUGUACCGCCAACCCCACUUUUCCCUCUUCUCUCUCCCCCUUUCUUUGUGUUUUGCGCUUUUCUGUGACGAUUUCUCAUGCGUGCGCUUGCUCUUCCAUAUGGUUUCUGGUUUUCGGCUGCCCUGACCCCAGCAUCAUGUCUUUCUUUGUUUUCUCACAAGCGGCGGAAGGUGCGUGCACAUCUCUGUACGUGAGGAGGGAGAAAGGCCAACGAGGCGGCGUCGACGACGCGGAGUGCGAAUCUGUAUGCUGUUGAACGCUCUUCUUCCCCUCACCCCGCUCCUCUGUCUUUCCUCUUGUCCUCUUGCUCCACCUCUGGUGUUGAUGCCCUUCUGCCCAUCCGCAAAGCCACUUCGUCCGCGGACGCACAGCUGGGCCCUUUCUUUUUCCUGCGCGUGUAUGUAUGGUGCCCUUGGUCUUGUUUUUCUUUUAGAAGCGUUCUACGCUUUCGUGCGUGUGUGCGUUGUCAUGUGGUUUUCUGUUUCCGUUCUUCGUCCUGACUUGUUCAGUCUUCCUGCCCGCGCUGUUUCUUUAUUUUUUUCUUUCAUUUUGGCGCCUUGCGAGUGCGUUCAUCUGUGUGUGCGUGUGCGCGUGCGUGCGGUUGUGGCAAUAUGGGCUAUAUAUGGAUACGCUUUUUUAUGUACAUCUGCACGGAUACUUUCUAUGACCCCCACGUGUCCCCGCGCUCUUUUGUUUUAUCUUUUUCUCGACCCUACCCGCAGUACGUUCACGUCUGCAUGUGUUAGUGGGUGUGCGCAUGGCGUCUGCUCCCUCUCCUACUUCUAUAGCAACUAUAUAUAUGUGCGUAGUCUGCCAUUCCCCUUCUGUCUCUUGCUCUUUUUGUUUUUCAUCUUCUCCUUUUCAGGUGAGCAGUCGGUUGUGUGAGCGUGUGCGUCGCACCUUACCUGCGCGCUAGUGUGCCACCUCUCUCACGACCUCACCCCCUCCAUUUCUGUCCCGUUAAAGGCAACGCGCGCACAUUUUAGUAAAGCCAGCAACUCAACUUCGCCCUCCCUCUCUCUCCAUCUCUGCGCCGCUGCACACUCACGUAGACCUAGUAGAGACACUGAAUAAGGAAAGAAGAAGAGGCGUUCACACAUUCACCACACUGUAGCCAACACGGCUACACACCGCUUCCUUCUCCAACUCGCAUGAAUAUGCUUCAUGUGGAUAGCAACAAAGAAAGUGCAGAACGCCGAAACGUCCUACCCAUUCUCCUACAUAGCUGUCUCUCUCUUUUUCAAUUAUUUUGUUUCCUGAAUUUUUGUUUUGUGACUCACAUUACACCGACCCAGAGAGGUGCGUUGAGGCGGUGGCAGCAGCAGCAUUAGAGCCGAUGGAGGCACGACAGUGAGCAAGACAGGGAUUGGGCUUCUUCAUCAAGGUGGUCUUGCUUUUCGUUUUGCCUUUGAUAGAAGAGCAGCACCAUGUUUGUCUCACCUCCUCCGCCUGUUCCUUUUUGGCUGAGACGGCACGAAGAUGGCGCUCACGUAAUAUGAACUCUCGAGUAUCCCAAAAAGAAACAUCGAUCGCCUUCUAGGCGGCUGCAUCCCUGUCGCCUGGCUCGCUAUGUCUUCUCCUUUUUAUUUUUACCUUCCUUUUGCUUUCUCUCUUUUGCCAUUUCCUACCACCACCUCUCUCCUACUUAGAUUCGUUUUUUUUUUUGCCCUUGUUCUCUCCUUGGGCUGUCUAUGUCCAUGUCAAUGUGUGUGUGUGUGUUGACUGUGAUCUGCUCUUCCAUCAUUUUCUGUUUCUCUGAGCUAUUUUAUGUUGUUGCUUCUUUCCCACCCGCGGUUCUCGCGUUUUUUGUUUUUGAGUGGGCGCUUCUGUGUGUUUGGUCUUGCUGGUUGUGGCCUUGUUUGGAUUUCUCCUUCGGUUUUGCUUCUUUUCGUUUCUUUUUUUUUUUGUUUGCUUUCGUUGUGUUGUUCGGCCCACCCGCUCACCACACUCCACUCCGCACCCGCCCUCCCCCCUGUGUCGUGUCCGUUGAUCGUGCUCUCGACUGUCGACUUUCUCGUUUUUUUUUUGGUUGUGUUUUGUCUCCCCCGUCAUCUCUCUCGAGGCUUGCCUUCGUCCAUGGCUGCAUUCUGUCGUCUCUUCCUUUCCGUCUUCCACGUCUCGUUCGCACCCUCCCUUCCACACUCAAACCCUCCAAUGAGGGCUAUUUUGUUUUGUAUCUCUCUGUGUGUGCAUGUGUAUGUGCGUCGCAAUCGCUGGCGAGGCAAAAGACCUCUCCCCACUCGGUUCUGUGUAUCUUCUUCGCUCGCCGCCACUCGACCCCGCCCCACCCCCCAUCUGCCCACCACAGCCUCGAAAGCAACACUCAGCAUCGCACCUGCAAUUUUCUUUACUAAAAGAGCCACUCCAGUUUUAUUUUCUGGCGCUCAUUUCUUCCCUUCUCGUUUCUUGCCCUGGCCUUCCGCAUAACGCUGGCUGCCGCACCAUCGUAUCAGGAUUGAGGACGCCAUUUGUGACGUAGCCAAAGGCCUGCAGCCUUUCCUCAGAAAUGCCUGCGGACUAUCGGUUUGGGCGUGCAGAACUGCGCUGCCGCGGUGCGGCCGAAGUGCGAAAUAAUGAUAACUUUCGGACCAACUCAAUACGAAUCGUGUCUGCGAUGCACCAGACAUAAGGCCCUUUCUAUGCCCCUUCGGAGCAGCAGGCUACGUGGUCUCCUCGCGAGCAGGCGCAUGCCUAUCCGCGGGCCCCUUCCGCUCGACGCACCCGCUGCCACAGGACUCAUGGCCGCGGCCCCGCCUGCGUCAAGGCGUGCGGUGCAGCCAUGUCCGUGUAGGCGCGCCUACCGCGCAGCACGUACCCCGGGAAUAGGCGAUGAAGGACAGGGAGCGCCCGGCAGGCGCAUGACCUGAUUCGACGGCGGACGGCGCGCCCCCUAGAGAACCAGGACGUCGCCGCUAAUGCGGCACAGGCAGGCGAGCUGUGGUUGUGUAGGCAUCUCUGUGUUGACGUGUUCCGGCUAGAAAGCCAGGCUGCAAAGAAAAAGAAGCGAAGGCGUCGCAUCGCCUUCUCGUCCCCCUGUCUUUGAUGCACGUAUAUAUGUAUAUUCAUACGCGCAUAUACGCAUAUGUGUAUUUACAGUCCCUGUGGUGAUGUUCUCGAAAGCACAAGCAAGCGCGUAUGCGCACACUUUUUUUUCGUAUAUCGUGCUCAUUUAUUAUUAAGUGUGCUUGUGUGUGUGUGUGUAUGUGUGUCUGCGUGUUUUUUUUUCGGCCUUUUGCGAUCAACUCAAAGUACGCCUGCGUCUCAGCCUACGGGUUGUGCCGCAGAAGGAUGUGUGAGGAGGAAACGUCGUUUGUCUUCUCUGGCACCGUUGUCCUUCUUCUCUCCGGCAAGUAGUAAAAUCGGCGCCACGCACUUUUACUUUCACACUGAAAAAGAAGGGUAAGGCUGGUUUCGACGGGGUUGUGGCGAGAUGGGGGAGUCGCUCUUCUUUCAUUUGGGGGUUCGCGCACGCACACAAACACUCACACACACACAUAUAUAUAUGCUUGUAUCUGCUUUUUAGUUCUCUUCAGUUUUUCUUUAGUUCUGGCCAGCGCUUUCGUGGCGCGGCUCAAUUUUUUUUUUUUCGGCGGUGGACAUCCCAUCCUUCUCCCUCUUCUUGCCGUUCAAAAGCAAACAAAAAAGGGUGUUUUGCGCCAUGGUAGAGGUCUCUUCUAUUUUCUUUUGGGCAGCUUUACGGCCGCGACAUAUAGGUGCGUGUGUAUGCGUGUGUAUGCAUGUAUUUAUUAGUGGUGGCGUCGCGGGUCUUUUCCUCUUGAGUUGAGUAGGAGGCGAACUGGCUCUCCUGCAUCGUCUUUGUUCUGUUGUUUCUACCCGACCAGCAGUCCCCUCUCCCCUCAUCAUGCCUGCCACCGCGUGAGGGACACGAUGGAUGAGGGAAAGGCGGACGCUGCGCUUUCGUAGACGAGGUGGAAAACAGCGGCCAGCAAUCAAGUGCAGAGGGCAAAGUCCGUUGGCCCUCUAUCUGGCGACAUGCAAAAGGUCUCUGGCACCGCUCUUCGCAGGCUACUAAAUGGUAUGGGGCGCCGUCAACGCGGUGAUUGUUUUCUUCUCAUGGUUUCUCUACCCCCUCCUUCUCAUUUUACACGGGUGGGGACAGCAAGCACUUGCAGGCACACGCAAACGCAUGUAUACUAGCUCGAGUGCGCCUGCACGCACACGCAUGUGCACAUGGAGUGAGCUGCGCGAAAUCUGAAGUGCUUCUCUUGCCUUCUCCCCUUACCCCACCCUGAACCAGCAUUGUAGGAAUGACCAAGACGACUCUCUCUCUCUCGCCAUGCUUUCACGCUUGAACAACGUCUGUGCGAGUAACCGACCUUUUUGUCCGCCCAGCCGUUCAAAAAAAAAAACCGAAAUACGUGCUUGUAUGUGGCGUCACAUCUGAUUCACGCUGAGGAGCCCACAGCGGGGGGAGAGCGUUAGAGGCGUCUUCUCUAUUAGAGAAAGAUGCAGAUAAGCUAAACACGCAUAUAUGUAUAUGUAUGUAAGGCGAUAAAAGGAAUAAAGAGCUGAUUCGAUGCCGACAAAAGACGAAGAAAAGUGCGAAGCCACGCAGCGGAUCAGGGAAAGUACACAAAAAGAAAGAGGCUCAAGACAACGAAACGUUCCCCUCUCACCCAACGAGAGCAGUAGAGAGCGCUGGCGUGGGGUGCACGCAAUGACGCACGAAAGGUGUGUGCUGUGAUGGCCUUGUAAAAUAAGAAAGAAUAACAAUCACAGUACGAAGAAAAAAGCAGCAAGGAGGGAAUAGCGGAUUUGGUCUCGCAUUGCGUGCCACACAAACCACAACAAACGGCAGCACGUGGCGUUUUGCUUUGUGCCUUUUGGGCGAUAACGAAAAAAAAAAAGAAAAGCGAGUGAGACACGCACG